GGUGGAGUGGCCGAGUGGUCCAAGGCAUCAGUUCGAAAGGGCGUGGUUUCGAAUCCCACCUCCAUCA
Molecule: transfer RNA, 67 nt
Filed under: Schistosoma margrebowiei
Lineage: Eukaryota; Metazoa; Platyhelminthes; Trematoda; Strigeidida; Schistosomatidae
Rfam family: tRNA
About the family: Transfer RNA (tRNA) molecules are approximately 80 nucleotides in length. Their secondary structure includes four short double-helical elements and three loops (D, anti-codon, and T loops). Further hydrogen bonds mediate the characteristic L-shaped molecular structure. tRNAs have two regions of fundamental functional importance: the anti-codon, which is responsible for specific mRNA codon recognition, and the 3' end, to which the tRNAs corresponding amino acid is attached (by aminoacyl-tRNA synthetases). tRNAs cope with the degeneracy of the genetic code in two manners: having more than one tRNA (with a specific anti-codon) for a particular amino acid; and 'wobble' base-pairing, i.e. permitting non-standard base-pairing at the 3rd anti-codon position.
Source: Rfam by way of RNAcentral